GAGGGUAGAGCUUAGUGGUAGAGCGUGUGCACGAGGUCCUGGGUUCAAUCCCCAGUACCGCCA
This 63-nucleotide transfer RNA is filed under the name Camelus bactrianus (Bactrian camel). It matches the Rfam family "tRNA". Rfam says of the family: Transfer RNA (tRNA) molecules are approximately 80 nucleotides in length. Their secondary structure includes four short double-helical elements and three loops (D, anti-codon, and T loops). Lineage: Eukaryota; Metazoa; Chordata; Mammalia; Artiodactyla; Camelidae. RNAcentral also lists the same sequence under 2 other names. The record is from Rfam by way of RNAcentral.